UCCUACGGGAGGCAGCAGUAGGGAAUCUUCCGCAAUGGACGAAAGUCUGACGGAGCAACGCCGCAUGAGUGAUGAAGGCUUUCGGGUCGUAAAACUCUGUUGUUAGGGAAGAACAAGUGCUAGUUGAAUAAGCUGGCACCUUGACGGUACCUAACCAGAAAGCCACGGCUAACUACGUGCCAGCAGCCGCGGUAAUACGUAGGUGGCAAGCGUUAUCCGGAAUUAUUGGGCGUAAAGCGCGCGCAGGUGGUUUCUUAAGUCUGAUGUGAAAGCCCACGGCUCAACCGUGGAGGGUCAUUGGAAACUGGGAGACUUGAGUGCAGAAGAGGAAAGUGGAAUUCCAUGUGUAGCGGUGAAAUGCGUAGAGAUAUGGAGGAACACCAGUGGCGAAGGCGACUUUCUGGUCUGUAACUGACACUGAGGCGCGAAAGCGUGGGGAGCAAACAGGAUUAGAUACCCUGGUAGUCCACGCCGUAAACGAUGAGUGCUAAGUGUUAGAGGGUUUCCGCCCUUUAGUGCUGAAGUUAACGCAUUAAGCACUCCGCCUGGGGAGUACGGCCGCAAGGCUGAAACUCAAAGGAAUUGACGGA
This 590-nucleotide ribosomal RNA is filed under the name uncultured bacterium. RNAcentral's name for it is "bacterial SSU rRNA". It matches the Rfam family "Bacterial small subunit ribosomal RNA", at positions 337 to 917 of the family's 1533-position model. The record is from RNAcentral.